UACGUAGGUGGCAAGCGUUGUCCGGAUUCACUGGGCUUAAAGGGCGCGUAGGCGGGCGGUCAAGUCGGGGGUGAAAUCUUUCAGCUUAACUGGAAAAGUGCCUCCGAUACUGAUCGCCUCGAGGGAGGUAGGGGCAUGUGGAACUUCCGGUGGAGCGGUGAAAUGCGUAGAUAUCGGAAGGAACGCCGGUGGCGAAAGCGACGUGCUGGACCUCCUCUGACGCUGAGGCGCGAAAGCUAGGGGAGCAAACGGG
RNAcentral lists this ribosomal RNA (253 nucleotides) under uncultured bacterium. RNAcentral's name for it is "partial 16S ribosomal RNA". It matches the Rfam family "Bacterial small subunit ribosomal RNA", at positions 524 to 776 of the family's 1533-position model. The record is from RNAcentral.